CCAACAGGGAUUACCUCAGUAACGGCGAGUGAAGCGGAACAGCUCAAAUUUGAAAUUUGGCUCUUUUAGGGUCCGAGUUGUAAUUUGUAGAAGAUGCUUCGGGUGUGGCUCCGGUCUAAGUUCCUUGGAACAGGACGUCAUAGAGGGUGAGAAUCCCGUAUGUGACUGGUUGCCUUCGCCCAUGUGAAGCUCUUUCGACGAGUCGAGUUGUUUGGGAAUGCAGCUCUAAAUGGGAGGUAAAUUUCUUCUAAAGCUAAAUAUUGGCCAGAGACCGAUAGCGCACAAGUAGAGUGAUCGAAAGAUGAAAAGCACUUUGGAAAGAGAGUUAAACAGUACGUGAAAUUGUUGAAAGGGAAGCGCUU
Molecule: ribosomal RNA, 362 nt
Filed under: uncultured fungus
Lineage: Eukaryota; Fungi
Description: LSU rRNA
Rfam family: Eukaryotic large subunit ribosomal RNA
Source: RNAcentral